RNAcentral lists this long non-coding RNA (738 nucleotides) under Helianthus annuus (common sunflower). RNAcentral's name for it is "hypothetical non coding rna". Lineage: Eukaryota; Viridiplantae; Streptophyta; Magnoliopsida; Asterales; Asteraceae. The record is from RNAcentral.
GUAUAGCAAAAACAAACGAUAAGGACGCAAGUGUCCAUUUCUUUUAAAAUAAGGGCGUAAGUUGACCCUACCACAAAACGACAGAGACGUAAAUUGUGGUUUACUUGAAAAAUGUUACAUUUAUAGGAAUACAAGGCCUGCUUAUUUAAUACUUAAAGUUUAAUAAUUUAAAAUUAAAUUAAAUAAUAUGUAUUUAGUUUUAAAGAAAGAUGAUUGGAAUAUGUUAUUGGAUACCUCUAAUCCCCCAAAAAAAUGGGAUACCCCUCAACUCCCUCUUCGUAGUGUAAAAAUACCCUUCAACUUCGCCUACGUAGUGUAAAAUUUUUAUCUUUUUAUACAAAGGAUACCUCUAAUCCCCCCAAAAAAAAUGGGAUACCCCUAAAUUUUUGGGCUAGCUCCGCUAAUGGUAUUUACAAUAAAGAAAAGUUUAAAAAAAAGUUUUAUUUUAUUUUUUCUAAAUUUUAAUUAUAAAAUAAGAAAUUGAGUUUUCUAUUAACCUUUUAGCAGUUUUCCGUAAACACUUCCAUUUUUUUAACUAUUUAUUUUUAAAUACUAAUUAUGUGAACUAAUAAUAUUGUAAAAAAUGCAUAAAAAAGCCAGAAAUCUUUCCAACAGUUCAAUUAUUAAUACAGAAGGAAUAUUUGCAUUGGAUGUAGCAGAGUGGGUCAAGAUUUAGUCAGAAGCAUGUGCGUUUUCCAUUUAAUUAAUAUUUUGGGUUUUUUUCUUUUUUUUUUUUAA